AAAAAACAUUUAAUGCAUUAUGAAUUCAGGCUGUAACAAAAUGUGUAAUAAGUCAAGAGGUAUGAAUACUGACACACAGGGACACACCAUGUCUGACCUACGUAUAUAAACACACACAUGAACCCCACAGGAGGUUGGUGGCACCUUCAUUGGGGAGGACAGGCUCGUGGUAAUGGCUUGAGUGGAAUCCGUGGAAUGGUAUCAAAUACAUCAAACAUAUGGUUUAAUGCCAUUCCAUUCGCUCCGUUCCAGCCAUUAUUAUGAGCCGUCCUCCCCUCAGCAGCCUCCAAUGAUCAGCGCACAGAGUGAAACACAUACACGCAGAUAUACAAAAGACUAUAGUAUGGAUGUUCUCCUGAGGUGUGACCGUCCCACCCCAACCCCCUGACCCCACCGUCUCCACACUGUCUGAGACAGGACUACGGACCAACAACCCUCCUUCUUUCUCCACUGGGGCCCAAUGAGCCCAUAGACAGCUCUACACACACACUCACACACACUCACUCACACUCACUCACACACACACAUAUCUCUGGGGAACAGGACUGAGUCGGAUGAACUCACUCUGCUUCAGAGGUUUCAGUGUUUCUGUUUCGUUGUUUGUUUGUUAGCUUGUAUGUUUGGUUUAUUGGUUGUACUUCCUGUGAGUCGUGGGCUAAAGCGCCGCCGGAUCUCUGGAACAUUCUAGAACACUUUGGAACAUUCUGGAACAUUCAACAUUCCAACUACUGCCACCAUACCGCUGACAGCUGAGAGCCCGCUAAGGCCUACAUGCCCGCCCCUCUGGGUUUGGGUCUGUACUGGUCUGGACCAGAUCAGACCGGAUUGUAUCGGAUCUGACCAUGCAUUGAAGCACUUUUUAGUUCCCACCAACAUCACACUCAACCCUUUUCUCUUUUAAUAUGAGUCAAGUUCUUUAUAGUAUAUCCCAGCAAACAGAGGACAUCUCUAGGACAUUAAGCGAUGUUCCCAUUAGGUUUUUUUUAGGGUUUCAGCAAGACGUUAUCCAUAAGGGGACAUCAGUGCAGGUCCCGGUUUGGUCGCAGUGUAAUGUUAUAAUAUGUUUUUUUUAUGUCCACAAGGGAACUUUAUGAACAGGUUCCUGUUUGGUUCUGGCAACCGGGAACUAAACAAAACCUCCACAGGACCAUGACACAAUGUCUUGACGACCAUUUCGUGAUGUUCCCAGGAAGUCCUAAGGACACAUUUUUGUUUCCAGUAUAAGUGUGGGAAAUUAUACAGAAACAAACAGGAAGAUUUGUGGGAAAAUCUUUUGUUUUACAUUUCUGUCCCACACACAGACACAUACACACCUGCCCUCCCUUGGAUGACAAAAAAAGGAAUCGAGAAAAGCAAUGAAUGAUGGGGGGGGAAUGGAAUUUUGCCAAAAUGAUCGUUUCCCUUUUCAUCUAGAAAAACAAACACUGAAAGUCAUUGCUAUAUAUGGCCUACUGGUAAUUCAAGCUCUGGGAUCCAGCCAUCCACCUGACAUUACCUCCUUCUACCAUUGGAACUCUUUAAAGGCUCUGAGAAGAAUGUAACGUUUU
RNAcentral lists this long non-coding RNA (1547 nucleotides) under Salmo salar (Atlantic salmon). RNAcentral's name for it is "lncRNA (ENSSSAG00000098717.1)". Lineage: Eukaryota; Metazoa; Chordata; Actinopteri; Salmoniformes; Salmonidae. The record is from RNAcentral.